This 496-nucleotide ribosomal RNA is filed under the name Methylobacterium sp. H9.47. Its description in RNAcentral is "bacterial SSU rRNA". It matches the Rfam family "Bacterial small subunit ribosomal RNA", at positions 202 to 719 of the family's 1533-position model. Lineage: Bacteria; Pseudomonadati; Pseudomonadota; Alphaproteobacteria; Hyphomicrobiales; Methylobacteriaceae. The record is from RNAcentral.
AAAGGCUUGCUGCCGAAGGAUCGGCCCGCGUCUGAUUAGCUAGUUGGUGGGGUAAUGGCCUACCAAGGCGACGAUCAGUAGCUGGUCUGAGAGGAUGAUCAGCCACACUGGGACUGAGACACGGCCCAGACUCCUACGGGAGGCAGCAGUGGGGAAUAUUGGACAAUGGGCGCAAGCCUGAUCCAGCCAUGCCGCGUGAGUGAUGAAGGCCUUAGGGUUGUAAAGCUCUUUUGUCCGGGACGAUAAUGACGGUACCGGAAGAAUAAGCCCCGGCUAACUUCGUGCCAGCAGCCGCGGUAAUACGAAGGGGGCUAGCGUUGCUCGGAAUCACUGGGCGUAAAGGGCGCGUAGGCGGCCAUUCAAGUCGGGGGUGAAAGCCUGUGGCUCAACCACAGAAUUGCCUUCGAUACUGUUUGGCUUGAGUAUGGUAGAGGUUGGUGGAACUGCGAGUGUAGAGGUGAAAUUCGUAGAUAUUCGCAAGAACACCAGUGGCGAA